This 626-nucleotide ribosomal RNA is filed under the name uncultured bacterium. RNAcentral's name for it is "bacterial SSU rRNA". It matches the Rfam family "Bacterial small subunit ribosomal RNA", at positions 59 to 731 of the family's 1533-position model. The record is from RNAcentral.
AAGUCGAGCGGGCCUUUCGGGGUCAGCGGCGGACGGGUGAGUAACGCGUGGGAACGUGCCCUCUGGUUCGGAAUAACUCAGGGAAACUUGAGCUAAUACCGGAUACGCCCUUUUGGGGAAAGGCUUGCUGCCGGAGGAUCGGCCCGCGUCUGAUUAGCUAGUUGGUGAGGUAACGGCUCACCAAGGCGACGAUCAGUAGCUGGUCUGAGAGGAUGAUCAGCCACACUGGGACUGAGACACGGCCCAGACUCCUACGGGAGGCAGCAGUGGGGAAUAUUGGACAAUGGGCGCAAGCCUGAUCCAGCCAUGCCGCGUGAGUGAUGAAGGCCUUAGGGUUGUAAAGCUCUUUUAUCCGGGACGAUAAUGACGGUACCGGAGGAAUAAGCCCCGGCUAACUUCGUGCCAGCAGCCGCGGUAAUACGAAGGGGGCUAGCGUUGCUCGGAAUCACUGGGCGUAAAGGGCGCGUAGGCGGCGUUUUAAGUCGGGGGUGAAAGCCUGUGGCUCAACCACAGAAUGGCCUUCGAUACUGGGACGCUUGAGUAUGGUAGAGGUUGGUGGAACUGCGAGUGUAGAGGUGAAAUUCGUAGAUAUUCGCAAGAACACCGGUGGCGAAGGCGGCCAACUG